Dreissena polymorpha is the source of this 3383-nucleotide long non-coding RNA. RefSeq lists it as uncharacterized. Lineage: Eukaryota; Metazoa; Mollusca; Bivalvia; Myida; Dreissenidae. The record is from RefSeq and is a predicted model, not a curated record. The transcript has 4 exons.
UCAGUUGAUGUCCAGAUGGCAAGCAGAACAGACGUGUUUCUUGGAGCUGCCAAACAGUGAGUACAAACGUUUUAUAUUUUUCAGUUGUUUACUCAUAGAAGUCUGUGAAAGAUGAUAACAAGGGUUGAAUUGCACAGUACUUGUGUCUAAAAAUGCUGAUGUGUGACGGUUUACUGAAAAGGGUAAAUGCUAGCCAGUACUAACACUUGAGCAACCGUGGGAUGUCGAACUAACUGAUGAUGUACUAUGAUGGUGAACACUUACUAUGUGUAUCGAAAUGCUUUUGUUGAUAUUUAUUAUAGAUGAUUUGAUAUUGGUUAACAUUUGUUUGCAUGCUGUUAACAUUUCUAUUUCAUUUCAGGGAGCUGUGGUGAGUAUUGUAGUAUACAUUUGUUUCAAUAAUGUUUGAGUAGUACAAAAAUGUCUUUACUUUUGUAAUCGCCAGUUGUCUGUGAUAUGUAACGUAAACAAAAAACACAGCUAUGAAGCAUACAAUUGUUUCGAAAUUUUAUCAAUGAUUGUAUACUAUGCAUGUUUUGAUUUAGUUCGUUUCAGAUAUGACAUGACAUGAAGAGUUGACAGUCGAACAGAGCUGAGCAAUGCAGAAAGGUAAGUGUGUUUCAUUUUAGUAUGAACACUUGUAUUUUGUUUUUAUAUGGUAUGUUUUGUGCAUGCUAUGUUUCAGGUGUACUUGUAGUCAGCGACGAAGACGAUUCAAGAAGAGGAACAUUGCUGAGAAAGUGAAUGGGACUUGCAAACAGGGUAAGUGUUACAAUUGUUCUUUUGAUUUUUGCCAUGCAUACUUUGCUUUGCUCUGUUUCAGAUUUCACAUGCAGAAAUGGUCUCAUAGCAGUGCCAACAGUGAAUAAGGAUUUCAGCUGCUGUGAAACAACUCAACAGAAAGUAGGUAAGCAUUGAAUGAAUGCACUUGAGUUGUACAAUUUGAUGUGAUGCUUUUCUCUGUUUCAGAUUCAAGUUCCUGGUGUAGACAGAGAAAUGUGUUUGAAGAAGGAAUUCUACUACUGUGAUUCAACUCUACAGAAGCAAGGUAAGUAGAAACAAAAUUUUGGUUUAAUUUAACUCAUGUGUUUUGCACUGCAUGCUAUUUUUCAGGUCUCUCAUGCAGUGAUGGAAAAGAAGAAGAUUUCAAGAAAGAAUCACUGCUGCAACUCAGGCCUAUAACAAGGAAAGUGUUUACUAUAUUGUAUACAAGAUGUUUAUCUGUUUCACUCUGUUUCAGGUUUCAAUUGCAGAGAUGUUGCAGAGAUGUUUUGACAGCUUGUGGCAGAAAAGAAAUUCAGCAUCUGUUUCUCGACUCUAGCCACGAGGUAAGUCAAAACAAAUAUACUGGUUUGUAUGUAAUGUUGUUAUGCCCUUCUAUGUUUCAGACUUACAUUGCUGUGACUGUUCCACAGUGGGUCAAAAAAGAGACGAAUACAGGUUUCAAGAAGAAAAUUGGCUGUUAAAAACCUGCACAAAAUAUGAGGUAAGUAAACUACUCUUUUGGUUUGUUUUGUGCUUUGUUAUGCUUAACUAUUUUUCAGAUUGGAAUGGUGGGUCGUUACAGAGCAGACUUUUGGACUACUGAGAAGUUGAGAAACAGAGAAUGAUUCAAGAUCAGCUAGGUAAGUCUUGAUUAUUAUGCAUUGCUAAAUGUUUUUUUCAUUCCAGUAUGGCUGUGGUAAGUACACAAACUUUCUAUAAUUUAAUAUUGAACUGUUUUUAUGACCUGUAUUCUGCAUUGUAAAAUGUCUGUUUUUCAUUUCAGUAUCCUGUGGUAAGUACACUAACUUUGUAUAAUUUCAUAUUGAAAUGUUUUGAUGACUUGUAUCCUGCUAUGCAAUGCUUAAUAUAUUUUUCAUUUCAGUGUGGCUGUGGUAAGUACAAUUGCCUUCUUUAAUUUUCAUAUUGAACUGUUUUGAUGACUUUUAUUCUGCCAUACAAAAUGUGUUUUUUUUCAUUUCAGUUGCCUGUUGGUAAGUACAAUUUGCUUUCUUUAAUUGCAUAUUGAAAUAUGUUUUAUGACUUUUAUUCUGCUAUGCUUUUUUCAUUUCAGUUUGGCAGAUGUAAGUACACUUCAUUUAUGUAAAAACUGAAUAUGAUUGUUGUGCUAUACAAAAUGUGCUUUUUUCAAUUUCAGGUCAGCAAUGGUAAGUAGAUUGUGUUUCUUUAUGUAUAAUUUUGUAUACAUAUUGUUUUUUUCAUCAUAGCAUGUCUUUUAUAUUUAUGCUUUGUGUAAGUAAAAUGUUCAUAAAUCAUUCUUAUCUUCAAACUAAAAAUGUAUUGUGCUAUGCAAAAUGUCUGUAUGAUUUCAGUUGCCAGAGGUGAGUACCAUUACAGUUGAAAAGUUAGUUUUGUUUAGUUAAAGUUUUGGUUCACAGUUCUGUUUAUUAUUUGGCAAAAUUUACAUGUAUGCAUUGAGUCUUGAUUUCAGCUCGAUUGUGGACUGAAGAAGAUUGCCAGCAGAGGGAUUGGAUACAAAAUACAAACCCUACUACAAGACGAGUGUUUUCUACUACUAGACGUGUCAGGUUUACUUCCAGGCGAGCAGUGACAACAAGGCGCCUUUGUGGAAACAGCAAAACAAACAACUCUACUGCAAGACGAGCAGUAACAGCAAGGCGCCUGAACAUGCAACACAAUACAAAAAAUGCCAAUUUGCAAACCUUGAUGUGGACACCGAGUAGUCAAUACAUACGUGUGGCGUAUAGCUGCGACAAAACCGUGGGUCCAUCGCACCGAUAACUUGAACAUUGGCCCGUGUAUGGACAUCAGUGCAACUUUGUGAAUCCGUGUAUCUUUGUGAAUCCAUGUAACAUUGCGAAUGUGUGUCGAUCGAAAAAUGUGUACAUUCUGAACUGAAACGAACUCGGUGUUGCAAGUGGCAAGUGUUGACAGUGUGUAUGUUUAUGUUUAUGUUUUUACAUGAAAACUAAAGGAGAUUGUUCUCCUACCUUUUUUUUCCUUGUUUUAUUGCGCUGGCCAGCAAUAUUGAUGUAUUGAUGUAUGUGUUUGUGUUUAAACUAUGCAAUACCAAAAUCAAACAAAAAAUAAACAUUAACAGUCAUUAACUGUGUUUGGGCGGCCGAGGGGUUUAAGACUCCACAAGUGUGAAGCGCACUGAUAGCACUUGGGGGUGAACACCUCGGUAUUUCGGUGCUAAAAUGUUUUCACGGUGCUUAUCUUGACGCACUGUUAAGACUACCAACCAGUUAAUGAUUGCUUCAUCUUUAAACAAAAAGUAAGUCUCUACUUUGGCACAAGAGACUCCAAGUACCAAAUACCAACAAUUAAAAAGCAGACGUUUUUCAAAACUAUGAUCGCUGAGAUUGAUAGUCAGAUGGAGUCCUGCCCAUUUAGCUGUGUAGCGGUCUAGGGCGGGG